RNAcentral lists this transfer RNA (79 nucleotides) under Marmota monax (woodchuck). Its description in RNAcentral is "tRNA.Ala". The record is from RNAcentral. Lineage: Eukaryota; Metazoa; Chordata; Mammalia; Rodentia; Sciuridae.
GUGGUGGCUCAGCGGUAAAGCACUCGCCUCGCACGUGCGAGUCCCUGGUGAAACCCUGGGUUCGAUCCUCAGCACCACA